UCACAGCAAGCUGAGAAGUUUAUAUAUCCAUAAUGUCCUGUUUGGUUGUCUAACUAUAAUACCCUUCUUCAUAGGAUGUGUCAUAUAUACUUCAUCAUCUUUUGCAGGUUGUGUCUUAAUUUGGUCAUCUUUACUUAGACUCUUCACAUUGUCCUUUUCAUAUUCAUUAUCUACUCUUAUCUUAUCAGUUCCUUGUGAUUUGCUACAGAACCUGUGACAAGAAGACAU
Vicia faba (fava bean) is the source of this 228-nucleotide non-coding RNA. Lineage: Eukaryota; Viridiplantae; Streptophyta; Magnoliopsida; Fabales; Fabaceae. The record is from the annotation of a GenBank genome assembly.